GGCAAGGGCCGGGCUCGGGGGAGUCUGAGGGGCAUCUCAGCUGCACACCGAGGCCCCUCGGGACAGCUGCUGACGCGUGGCCCGACCUCUCCUGGGGAAGUUCAACUCAAGGUGCAGAACAAGUCAGGUCAGGGCAGAGAGCCUGGUGGGGGGUGUGGGCAGGGGGAGGCUCCCGGUGACCCCACGGGAAACCCCGCAGAGGCUCUGGGGCAGGAGUCACUGUGAGGUGAGGAGAGAACCAUCCGGAGUCGCCAUCCACGGACAGAUGCGGUUCUACAGGGUGAGGCAGGACAAGGCAUGUCCCAGCACUGACUUGAAACUGUCCUGAAGCCACUGGAGCUGGUGUCCUAGGCAGAGAGGUCACACAGGCAGAGCUCUGAGUGCCAGAGACAUGGGACUCAUCAGGUAAAGGAAAGGAGGGUUUCAAAAACUUGGGAUCGGCCGGAAAAGCACCUGAAGCAAGGCCUGAUUGAGCUUGCCCCUGUGUCUUGAAUACCACCUUCUGGAGUGCAGGAGAGGACGCACAGGCCACAGUUGCAGGCUGGAGUACAAUGGCGUGAUCUCAGCUCACUGCAACCUCUGCCUCCCAGGCUCAAGCAAUUCUUGUGCCUCAGCCUCCCAAGUAGCUGGGACUACAGGCAUGUGCGGGUUUGCAUUUUGGUGAGUGGAAAAUCAUAUCUACCCUCCUGUUAAAUGCCAUGGUCCCUGCUGUGGUCUCUGGUACACUGUGUCUUGAUUCUUAUUCAUCUCAAAGUAUUUUCUGGUUUCUGUUUUUCUUAGACUCAUUGGCUAUUUAGGAGUGUGUUGUAUAAUUUCCACAUAUUUGUGAGUUUCCCAAAUUGUCUCCACAAAGUCUUACUCUGUCGCCCAGGCUGGAGUGCACUGGCGUGAUCAUGGCUCACUGCAGUCUUGACCUCCUGGGCUCAAGUGAUCCUCCCAUCUCAGCCUCCCAAGUAGCUGGGACUACAGGCAUGUGCCCCUACACCAACUAAUUUAUUACUUUUUUUAAUAGAGAUGAGGUCUUGCUAUGUAGCCCAGACGGGCAUCGAGCUCCUGGCCUCAAGUGAUCCUCCCAAGUCGGCCUUCCAAAGUGCUGGGAUUAUAGGUGUGAGUGCUGUGCCCGACUCUUGUCAUCAAUUUCUAAUGUCACUCCCUCGUGCUUGGAGCACGUG
This 1172-nucleotide long non-coding RNA is filed under the name Homo sapiens (human). Its description in RNAcentral is "non-protein coding lnc-UBE3C-3:1". The record is from RNAcentral. Lineage: Eukaryota; Metazoa; Chordata; Mammalia; Primates; Hominidae.